UGGGGAAUAUUGGACAAUGGGGGCAACCCUGAUCCAGCCAUGCCGCGUGAGUGAUGAAGGCCUUAGGGUUGUAAAGCUCUUUCGCGCACGACGAUGAUGACGGUAGUGCGAGAAGAAGCCUCGGCUAACUCCGUGCCAGCAGCCGCGGUAAGACGGAGGAGGCUAGCGUUGUUCGGAAUUACUGGGCGUAAAGCGUGCGCAGGCGGCCCGAUUAGUUGGAGGUGAAAUCCCGGAGCUCAACUUCGGAACUGCCUCCAAUACUGUCGGGCUUGAGCGGAGGAGAGGAGAGCGGAAUUCCCAGUGUAGAGGUGAAAUUCGUAGAUAUUGGGAAGAACACCGGUGGCGAAGGCGGCUCUCUGGCCUCUUGCUGACGCUCAGGCACGAAAGCGUGGGGAGCAAACAGG
Molecule: ribosomal RNA, 404 nt
Filed under: uncultured Rhodospirillaceae bacterium
Lineage: Bacteria; Pseudomonadati; Pseudomonadota; Alphaproteobacteria; Rhodospirillales; Rhodospirillaceae
Description: bacterial SSU rRNA
Rfam family: Bacterial small subunit ribosomal RNA
Source: RNAcentral